RNAcentral lists this ribosomal RNA (731 nucleotides) under Bacillus subtilis. Its description in RNAcentral is "bacterial SSU rRNA". It matches the Rfam family "Bacterial small subunit ribosomal RNA", at positions 558 to 1289 of the family's 1533-position model. Lineage: Bacteria; Bacillati; Bacillota; Bacilli; Caryophanales; Bacillaceae. The record is from RNAcentral.
GCGUAAAGGGCUCGCAGGCGGUUUCUUAAGUCUGAUGUGAAAGCCCCCGGCUCAACCGGGGAGGGUCAUUGGAAACUGGGGAACUUGAGUGCAGAAGAGGAGAGUGGAAUUCCACGUGUAGCGGUGAAAUGCGUAGAGAUGUGGAGGAACACCAGUGGCGAAGGCGACUCUCUGGUCUGUAACUGACGCUGAGGAGCGAAAGCGUGGGGAGCGAACAGGAUUAGAUACCCUGGUAGUCCACGCCGUAAACGAUGAGUGCUAAGUGUUAGGGGGUUUCCGCCCCUUAGUGCUGCAGCUAACGCAUUAAGCACUCCGCCUGGGGAGUACGGUCGCAAGACUGAAACUCAAAGGAAUUGACGGGGGCCCGCACAAGCGGUGGAGCAUGUGGUUUAAUUCGAAGCAACGCGAAGAACCUUACCAGGUCUUGACAUCCUCUGACAAUCCUAGAGAUAGGACGUCCCCUUCGGGGGCAGAGUGACAGGUGGUGCAUGGUUGUCGUCAGCUCGUGUCGUGAGAUGUUGGGUUAAGUCCCGCAACGAGCGCAACCCUUGAUCUUAGUUGCCAGCAUUCAGUUGGGCACUCUAAGGUGACUGCCGGUGACAAACCGGAGGAAGGUGGGGAUGACGUCAAAUCAUCAUGCCCCUUAUGACCUGGGCUACACACGUGCUACAAUGGACAGAACAAAGGGCAGCGAAACCGCGAGGUUAAGCCAAUCCCACAAAUCUGUUCUC